CAUUGAGUAAUGAUCAAAUAUUUAUAGGAAUAAGAUGGGCAUGCGUGUCAUUAGCUAGUUGGCGGGGUAACGGCCCACCAAGGCGACGAUGACUAGGGGAUCUGAGAGGAUGACCCCCCACACUGGUACUGAGACACGGACCAGACUCCUACGGGAGGCAGCAGUAAGGAAUAUUGGUCAAUGGAGGCAACUCUGAACCAGCCAUGCCGCGUGCAGGAAGACAGCCCUCUGGGUCGUAAACUGCUUUUAUUCGGGAAUAAACCUUUCUACGUGUAGAGAGCUGAAUGUACCGAAGGAAUAAGGAUCGGCUAACUCCGUGCCAGCAGCCGCGGUAAUACGGAGGAUCCAAGCGUUAUCCGGAUUUAUUGGGUUUAAAGGGUGCGUAGGCGGCUUAUUAAGUCAGGGGUGAAAGACGGUGGCUCAACCAUCGCAGUGCCUUUGAUACUGAUGAGCUUGAAUGAACUAGAGGUAGGCGGAAUGUGACAAGUAGCGGUGAAAUGCGUAGAU
This 507-nucleotide ribosomal RNA is filed under the name uncultured bacterium. RNAcentral's name for it is "bacterial SSU rRNA". It matches the Rfam family "Bacterial small subunit ribosomal RNA", at positions 188 to 695 of the family's 1533-position model. The record is from RNAcentral.